RNAcentral lists this unclassified non-coding RNA (162 nucleotides) under uncultured Calycina. RNAcentral describes it as "sequence contains ITS1". Lineage: Eukaryota; Fungi; Ascomycota; Leotiomycetes; Helotiales; Hyaloscyphaceae. The record is from RNAcentral.
CAGAGUUCCGGCCCUUCGGGGUCGAUCUCCCACCCUUUGCUAUACCUUACCUUUUGUUGCUUUGGCGGGCCGCCAUUCGGCCGUCGGUUCCGGCCGGCGCGCGCCCGCCAGAGACACCCAAACCCUGUAUUACAGUGUCGUCCGAGUACUAUAUAAUAGUUA